RNAcentral lists this transfer RNA (69 nucleotides) under unidentified. RNAcentral's name for it is "Peltoperlopsis sagittata tRNA-Gln". It matches the Rfam family "tRNA". Rfam says of the family: Transfer RNA (tRNA) molecules are approximately 80 nucleotides in length. Their secondary structure includes four short double-helical elements and three loops (D, anti-codon, and T loops). The record is from RNAcentral.
UAUGUUCUAGUGUAUGGUGCACAAAAGUUUUUGAUACUUUAGGAAGUAGUUCAAAUCUAUUGGAUAUAA